Molecule: ribosomal RNA, 1469 nt
Filed under: Burkholderia mallei FMH
Lineage: Bacteria; Pseudomonadati; Pseudomonadota; Betaproteobacteria; Burkholderiales; Burkholderiaceae
Description: 16S ribosomal RNA
Source: RNAcentral
CAUAUGCAUGUUUUGCGCCGGCCGGCGAAGGCGUUUCGGUGUAGCAUCGGGUGCGUGACGCGCCAUUGGCCGAAUCGAUGCGCCCGCAUCGAUUCGGCGGCGAGCCGUGCGUCGGUUGAGCCGUGCGCCGCGGCGUUCAAGGCGCGGCGCACGCUUGAACGAGACAGGCGUGCGGCAGGCGGGCGUCGCGCGAAUCCUGGGUCUUGCUGGAGAGAGUCGAGAUGAAUCUGAAUGAUGCCGUCGUACUGGUGACCGGCGCGAAUCGCGGCCUGGGGCUCGCGUUCGUCGAGGGGCUGAAGGCCGCGGGCGCGAAGAAAAUCUAUGCGGCCGCGCGCGAUCCGGCGCGCGUGACGACGCCCGGCGUGCAGCCGGUGCGGCUCGACGUCACGCGCGCGCAAGAUAUCGCCGCCGCCGCGCGCGAGUUGCGCGACGUCAAUCUGCUCGUCAACAACGCGGGCAUUUUCCGGAUGGGCUCGCUGCUCGCGGAGGCGGACGGCGGCGGCCUGCAGGCGCAGCUCGACACGAAUUUCUUCGGCCCGCUCGCGAUGGCGCGUGCGUUCGCGCCGGUGCUGCGCGAGAACGGCGGCGGCGCGAUCAUCAACGUGCUGUCGGUGCUGUCGUGGCUCGGCUUGCCGAAUACGGGCGCGUACGGCAUUUCGAAGGCGGCCGCGUGGGCCGCGACGAACGCGAUCCGCAACGAGCUGCGCGAGCAGCGCACGCGCGUGCUCGCGCUGCAUUCGGCGUAUAUCGAUACCGACAUGGUCGCGCACGCGCAGGGCGUGCCGAAGAAUCGCCCGGAGGACGUCGUCCGGCAGACGCUCGACGCGCUCGCGGCCGGCCGCGACGAAGUGCUCGUCGAUGCGCUGACGCGCGACGUGAAGGCGGGGUUGUCGGCCGAGCCGGCGGUCUACACGCAGCCGCCGACGGGCGCGUGACGGUGAUACGGCGGCACGCGGCACGCGUGCGGCACCGGCGUUCGGGACGAACGGGCGAACGGAUGAAUGGAUGAACGGUGUCGCGCAGGGCGGCAGGGCGGCUCGCCGCCGUCGUGCGUGCGGAUCGCGGCGCGCGCCGGCGUCGGCCCCGCUCAGCCCGCCUUCGCCCUGGGUUUGCGCGGCGCCUUCUCGAACAGGCGAUCGUACAGCCAGCGCGGCAUCACGUGCAGCAGCUUCGCGACGAUGCCCAUCUGCCAUGGAAUCACGCGAAACGCGGUUUUCUGCGAGAUCGCGAGCGCCGCGCGCUUCGCGAAGCGGUCCGCAUCCAUCAGGAACGGCAUCGGAUACGGGUUGUGCUCGGUCAUCGGCGUGCGGAUGUAGCCGGGCGCGAUCGUCACGACCGCGACUUGCGCGGGCCGCAGCUCGACCCUCAGCGCCUCGAGAUACUUGAUCGCCGCCGCCUUCGACGCGCUGUACGCGCCCGAGCCCGGCAGCCCGCGCACGCCGGCCACGCUCGCGAUGCCGACGAGCGUG